AGCGAACGCUGGCGGCAGGCUUAACACAUGCAAGUCGAGCGGGCAUCCUUGUGGUGUCAGCGGCAGACGGGUGAGUAACGCGUGGGAACGUGCCCUUCGGUUCGGAAUAACUCAGGGAAACUUGAGCUAAUACCGGAUACGCCCUUUUGGGGAAAGGUUUACUGCCGAAGGAUCGGCCCGCGUCUGAUUAGCUAGUUGGUGAGGUUAUGGCUCACCAAGGCGACGAUCAGUAGCUGGUCUGAGAGGAUGAUCAGCCACACUGGGACUGAGACACGGCCCAGACUCCUACGGGAGGCAGCAGUGGGGAAUAUUGGACAAUGGGGGCAACCCUGAUCCAGCCAUGCCGCGUGAGUGAUGACGGCCUUAGGGUUGUAAAGCUCUUUUCUCCGGGACGAUAAUGACGGUACCGGAGGAAUAAGCCCCGGCUAACUUCGUGC
This 437-nucleotide ribosomal RNA is filed under the name uncultured bacterium. RNAcentral describes it as "partial 16S ribosomal RNA". It matches the Rfam family "Bacterial small subunit ribosomal RNA", at positions 29 to 508 of the family's 1533-position model. The record is from RNAcentral.